GAUGAACGCUGGCGGCGUGCUUAACACAUGCAAGUCGAACGGUGAACACGGAGCUUGCUCUGUGGGAUCAGUGGCGAACGGGUGAGUAACACGUGAGCAACCUGCCCCUGACUCUGGGAUAAGCGCUGGAAACGGCGUCUAAUACUGGAUAUGUGACGUGACAGCAUGGUCUGCGUUUGGAAAGAUUUUUCGGUUGGGGAUGGGCUCGCGGCCUAUCAGCUUGUUGGUGAGGUAAUGGCUCACCAAGGCGUCGACGGGUAGCCGGCCUGAGAGGGUGACCGGCCACACUGGGAUUGAGACACGGCCCAGACUCCUACGGGAGGCAGCAGUGGGGAAUAUUGCACAAUGGGCGAAAGCCUGAUGCAGCAACGCCGCGUGAGGGAUGACGGCCUUCGGGUUGUAAACCUUUUUUAGCAGGGAAGAAGCGAAAGUGACGGUACCUGCAGAAAAAGCGCCGGCUAACUACGUG
This 469-nucleotide ribosomal RNA is filed under the name uncultured bacterium. RNAcentral's name for it is "partial 16S ribosomal RNA". It matches the Rfam family "Bacterial small subunit ribosomal RNA", at positions 28 to 507 of the family's 1533-position model. The record is from RNAcentral.